CUCAGUGCUAUCAGUGAUGACAUCUGG
Molecule: non-coding RNA, 27 nt
Filed under: Rattus norvegicus (Norway rat)
Lineage: Eukaryota; Metazoa; Chordata; Mammalia; Rodentia; Muridae
Source: RNAcentral